Molecule: small RNA, 578 nt
Filed under: Pan troglodytes (chimpanzee)
Lineage: Eukaryota; Metazoa; Chordata; Mammalia; Primates; Hominidae
Description: processed transcript
Source: RNAcentral
CGAUGGACGGUCGGGUGCAGCUGAUAAAGGCCCUCCUGGCCUUGCCGAUCCGGCCUGCGACGCGUCGCUGGAGGAACCCGAUUCCCUUUCCCGAGACGUUUGACGGCGAUACCGACCGACUCCCGGAGUUCAUCGUGCAGACGGGCUCCUACAUGUUCGUGGACGAGAACACGUUCUCCAGCGACGCCCUGAAGCUGCAAGCUGGGCUCCUGUUACACACUGGACAGACCACCCACUGCCGCCGCUGCCAAGCCCUCUCCUCCCCACCAGACUUCCAGACGACUACAUCAUUCUGCCCACAGACCUGCGCUGCCACAGCCAUCGCCAUCCAUCGCAUCCCACCGACAGACUGCUGCUCCUAGUGAUCUGGACUCACCUCGGAGGUAUCUGGGCUGGCCACAGUCCCUGGACAGUGAUCCAGACAGCUGGCCGCCCCCCAAGGGAUCUGUCACCUUCAGCGAGACCUAUUUCCUCCCCACCCCCAGAAACCUCUUGUGUUCUUGCCUAGGCCCAGGUGUGCCUGGCAGCCAAAUCGAGUCUCUCAUUUUCUCUUGUGGACCAGUUAGUUUUGCCCAUAA